Orcinus orca (killer whale) is the source of this 275-nucleotide long non-coding RNA. RefSeq lists it as uncharacterized. The record is from RefSeq and is a predicted model, not a curated record. The transcript has 3 exons. Lineage: Eukaryota; Metazoa; Chordata; Mammalia; Artiodactyla; Delphinidae.
CAAAGGUUUACUGAAUUUUAAGGAUUCUUGGAAAAUAUCUAAUUCAACAGUACUUAUUUUCAGGACAAGCAUCUAAAGCACAAAGGUGUUAAUGCACUUGUUCAAAAUUACGUGAUACAGCUUUGUCACUCAAUAUCAAGUCUAUUUCCUAAUUGCUGCAGAUAAAGAUGUGCAAGGAACGCUCUUAGGCAUUUCUGUGCAUCUGUACCCCAGACAAGGUAACAGCAGCCACCCAACCACAGGGAAGGAAAAGAAAGCCAAACUCCAGUCCAAGG